GAUGAACGUUGGCGGCGUGCCUAAUACAUGCAGGUCGAGCGAACAGACGAGGAGCUUGCUCCUCUGACGUUAGCGGCGGACGGGUGAGUAACACGUGGAUAACCUACCUAUAAGACUGGGAUAACUUCGGGAAACCGGAGCUAAUACCGGAUAAUAUAUUGAACCGCAUGGUUCAAUAGUGAAAGACGGUUUUGCUGUCACUUAUAGAUGGAUCCGCGCCGCAUUAGCUAGUUGGUAAGGUAACGGCUUACCAAGGCAACGAUGCGUAGCCGACCUGAGAGGGUGAUCGGCCACACUGGAACUGAGACACGGUCCAGACUCCUACGGGAGGCAGCAGUAGGGAAUCUUCCGCAAUGGGCGAAAGCCUGACGGAGCAACGCCGCGUGAGUGAUGAAGGUCUUCGGAUCGUAAAACUCUGUUAUUAGGGAAGAACAAAUGUGUAAGUAACUAUGCACGUCUUGACGGUACCUAAUCAGAAAGCCACGGCUAACUACGUG
This 497-nucleotide ribosomal RNA is filed under the name uncultured bacterium. RNAcentral describes it as "partial 16S ribosomal RNA". It matches the Rfam family "Bacterial small subunit ribosomal RNA", at positions 28 to 507 of the family's 1533-position model. The record is from RNAcentral.